GUUGUUUGUUGUUGCUGAGCUUUAACCACGUUUGUUGUUGCUGAACUUCACCACGUGUUAAAAGGGCAUUUCACGUGUAAAUCAGUGGACAUUUCAAAGUUGUUUCCUCAUCUCCUUCCAAUUCUUUCUACAGUGAUGAUGAAUGUUCUGCUCCUUUCCUAUUUUUCUAUACACAUAUUAUAAAUUUGUGCUUCCACACAUUAUUUCUUCCACAUUCUACCUCGGUUUUUUAGCUUGCAACUACUAAAGGUGGAGUUGAUGCAAUGAGCGAACUAGAAGUGAGGUUACUAUACCCGACUUAGAAGACUAUGAACGAUUAGCCUGUGGAAUAGAAAACCUGAGAAAUCUAAUGUUUUUAUGUCUUUAAGACAUUGAUAGCCAACUAAACUUGCAGAACAUGUGAAUGUAUUUGCAUAUAUCUUAUUAUUAGUCACAUCUAGAAA
Molecule: long non-coding RNA, 443 nt
Organism: Capsicum annuum
Lineage: Eukaryota; Viridiplantae; Streptophyta; Magnoliopsida; Solanales; Solanaceae
Exons: 2
Source: RefSeq, a predicted model, not a curated record